GUCUAUGGCCAUACCACACUGAAUGAGCUCAAUCUUGUCUGAUCUCGGAAGCUACACAGGGUCAAGUCUGGUUAGUACUUGGAUGGGGAUAAUAAUAAGGGAAAACAUACAUC
Molecule: ribosomal RNA, 113 nt
Filed under: Propithecus coquereli (Coquerel's sifaka)
Lineage: Eukaryota; Metazoa; Chordata; Mammalia; Primates; Indriidae
Source: RNAcentral